This 320-nucleotide ribosomal RNA is filed under the name uncultured eukaryote. RNAcentral describes it as "partial 18S ribosomal RNA". It matches the Rfam family "Eukaryotic small subunit ribosomal RNA", at positions 1470 to 1796 of the family's 1831-position model. The record is from RNAcentral.
CCCCUAGAUGUUCUGGGCCGCACGCGCGCUACACUGAACAGUUCAACAAGUCUUAACCUUGGCCGAUAGGUCUGGGUAAUCUUUGAACGCUGUUCGUGAUUGGGAUAGACCUUUGCAAUUAUGGGUCUUCAACGAGGAAUUCCUAGUAAACGCAAGUCAUCAGCUUGCAUUGAUUACAUCCCUGCCCUUUGUACACACCGCCCGUCGCACCUACCGAUUGAAUGGUCCGGUGAAAUCUCGGGACGGCGGCUUGGUCGCUUGCGUCCGACUGCUGAAACUUGAUUAAACCAUAUCAUUUAGAGGAAGGUGAAGUCGUANCA